This 301-nucleotide ribosomal RNA is filed under the name uncultured bacterium. Its description in RNAcentral is "partial 16S ribosomal RNA". It matches the Rfam family "Bacterial small subunit ribosomal RNA", at positions 509 to 807 of the family's 1533-position model. The record is from RNAcentral.
CAGCAGCCGCGGUAAUACCGAGGGUGCGAGCGUUAAUCGGAUUUACUGGGCGUAAAGCGUGCGUAGGCGGCUUUUUAAGUCGGAUGUGAAAUCCCUGAGCUUAACUUAGGAAUUGCAUUCGAUACUGGGAAGCUAGAGUAUGGGAGAGGAUGGUAGAAUUCCAGGUGUAGCGGUGAAAUGCGUAGAGAUCUGGAGGAAUACCGAUGGCGAAGGCAGCCAUCUGGCCUAAUACUGACGCUGAGGUACGAAAGCAUGGGGAGCAAACAGGAUUAGAUACCCGCGUAGUCCCUGUCUCUUAUAC